CCUACGGGAGGCAGCAGUAGGGAAUAUUGGGCAAUGGAGGCAACUCUGACCCAGCCAUGCCGCGUGAACGAAGAAGGCGCUAUGCGUCGUAAAGUUCUUUUAGAGGGGGCGAAAACACUUGAUUCAUCAAGUACUGACGGUACCUUCGGAAUAAGCACCGGCUAACUCUGUGCCAGCAGCCGCGGUAAUACAGAGGGUGCAAGCGUUAUCCGGAAUCACUGGGUUUAAAGGGUGCGUAGGCGGGAUUAUAAGUCAGAGGUGAAAUCUCGUCGCUUAACGACGGAAUUGCCUUUGAUACUGUUUUUCUUGAAAUUUGUUGAGGUUGGCGGAAUGAGACAUGUAGCGGUGAAAUGCUUAGAUAUGUCUUAGAACACCGAUUGCGAAGGCAGCUGACUGGACAAUAUUUGACGCUGAGGCACGAAAGCGUGGGGAUCAAACAGGAUUAGAUACCCUGGUAGUCCACGCCCUAAACGAUGUUUACUUGCUGUUUGUUUUUCGGAAUGAGUGGNGAGAGAAGAGAGAAGUAAACGACCGNGGGAGGUACGCCGCCGAAGGUAAGGUAAACGUAACGAAAGGAAAGUAGUUACGGCGUGAGGAGNGCCGACGGACGACGACGAGGGAGGAGG
Molecule: ribosomal RNA, 626 nt
Filed under: uncultured bacterium
Lineage: Bacteria
Description: bacterial SSU rRNA
Rfam family: Bacterial small subunit ribosomal RNA (bases 1-533)
Source: RNAcentral